GCGGCCGCCCCAUUCCCAGACAGGCCGCCAGCCCAUCUGGUUCGCUCCCGCCGCUCCGCGCCGCCCGGGAGUCGGGAGCCGCGGGGAACCGGGCACUUGCACCCGCCGCUGGGAGUGAGUGGUUCCAGCUGGUGCCUGGCCUGUGUCUCUUGGAUGCCCUGUGGCUUCACUCCGUCUCCUGUUGCCCACCAUCUCGUCCCUGGGCGGCCUGAUACUCCAGCCCAACAGCUAAGGUGUGGAUGGACAGUAGGGGGCUGGCUUCUCUCACUGGUCAGGGGCAGGCAGCCAAGUGGAGACUUUGAAUGGAGGCAAGGAUGGAGGGGACCUGGGGAAGAGGACUGGCCUGAAUCACCUUCCCCAAAGGUCCUCAUGGACUGAGCUGGAGGUUUUCUCCCCUGUCUGCCUCCCGGAGCUAGGACUGCAGAGGGGCCUAUCAUGGUGCUUGCAGGCCCCCUGGCUGUCUCGCUGUUGCUGCCCAGCCUCACACUGCUGGUGUCCCACCUCUCCAGCUCCCAGGAUGUCUCCAGUGAGCCCAGCAGUGAG
This 543-nucleotide small RNA is filed under the name Pan troglodytes (chimpanzee). RNAcentral's name for it is "processed transcript". Lineage: Eukaryota; Metazoa; Chordata; Mammalia; Primates; Hominidae. The record is from RNAcentral.